GUAACGGCGAGUGAAGCGGCAAGAGCUCAAAUUUGAAAGCUGGCCCCUCCGGGGUCCGCGUUGUAAUUUGCAGAGGAUGCUUUGGGUGCGGCCCCCGUCUAAGUGCCCUGGAACGGGCCGUCAGAGAGGGUGAGAAUCCCGUCUUGGGCGGGGUGUCCGUGCCCGUGUAAAGCUCCUUCGACGAGUCGAGUUGUUUGGGAAUGCAGCUCUAAAUGGGUGGUAAAUUUCAUCUAAAGCUAAAUACUGGCCGGAGACCGAUAGCGCACAAGUAGAGUGAUCGAAAGAUGAAAAGCACUUUGAAAAGAGAGUUAAACAGCACGUGAAAUUGUUGAAAGGGAAGCGCUUGCGACCAGACUCGCCCUCGGGGUUCAGCCGGCACUCGUGCCGGUGUACUUCCCCGGGGGCGGGCCAGCGUCAGCUUGGGCGGCCGGUCAAAGGCCUCCGGAAUGUAGUGCCCCCCGGGGCACCUUAUAGCCGGAGGUGCAAUGCGGCCAGCUGGGCUGAGGAACGCGCUUCGGCACGGACGCUGGCAUAAUGGUCGCAAACGACC
This 550-nucleotide ribosomal RNA is filed under the name Aspergillus japonicus. RNAcentral describes it as "eukaryotic LSU rRNA". It matches the Rfam family "Eukaryotic large subunit ribosomal RNA", at positions 83 to 649 of the family's 3401-position model. Lineage: Eukaryota; Fungi; Ascomycota; Eurotiomycetes; Eurotiales; Aspergillaceae. The record is from RNAcentral.